RNAcentral lists this ribosomal RNA (484 nucleotides) under uncultured bacterium. RNAcentral's name for it is "partial 16S ribosomal RNA". The stretch from base 15 to 367 matches the Rfam family "Bacterial small subunit ribosomal RNA", at positions 42 to 397 of the family's 1533-position model. The record is from RNAcentral.
AUUGAACGCUGGCGGCAGGCCUAACACAUGCAAGUCGAGCGGAUGAAGGGAGCUUGCUCCUGGAUUCAGCGGCGGACGGGUGAGUAAUGCCUAGGAAUCUGCCUGGUUGUGGGGGAUAACGUCCGGAAACGGGCGCUAAUACCGCAUACGUCCUGAGGGAGCAAGUGGGGGAUCUUCGGACCUCACGCUAUCAGAUGAGCCUAGGUCGGAUUAGCUAGUUGGUGGGGUAAAGGCGUACCAAGGCGACGAUCCGUAACUGGUCUGAGAGGAUGAUCAGUCACACUGAGAGUGAGACAGGGUACAGAGGGCCAGGGGUGGGAGCAGGGGGGAAUAUUGGAGAAGGGGUGAGAGCUAGUGCCAGACAUGCGGAAGGUUGGAGGAGGGUCGUCGGAUGGGAGAGGACGGUAUGUGGGGAGGAAGGGGAUUAAGUUAAUAACGUGGUGUUUGUAAGUGUAAAGCAGAAUGAAGACCGGGUAAAUUAGUG